Molecule: long non-coding RNA, 375 nt
Filed under: Aquila chrysaetos chrysaetos
Lineage: Eukaryota; Metazoa; Chordata; Aves; Accipitriformes; Accipitridae
Description: lncRNA (ENSACCG00020016497.1)
Source: RNAcentral
CAGCCAGAAGAUGUGUUCUUUCAUUUCCAAGCUUGAAUCUUCUCUGCUGUUGAAGACUGAUAGUGAAAGGCUUGCAGUCACAGUUGGUUUGAAGGUAUCUUUGAUAUAGUCCACUCAAAGCAGUAACCAGAUACUUCCAUAGUGGAAACAAAGAGCUGCCACAGAAAGCACACACUUCACUUGAUCAACUCGUCAGGGGUGGUAAUUUCAAAGAGGGCCACUAACAACCUUAUAAUCUGAGAUUAAAGGCUUUUUUUUUCUAUCACCUCUUAAAGUUAUCAAACCAGAAAUUCAGCUAUGGCUCAACUGUGCAUAGUUUGGAGUUUUUGGCGAUGGGGAGGUGUCCCCAUUCUGACAUGACAGCACAGAGAUUGC